GAUGAACGCUGGCGGCGUGCCUAAUACAUGCAAGUCGAGCGAACAGAUGAGGAGCUUGCUCCUCUGACGUUAGCGGCGGACGGGUGAGUAACACGUGGAUAACCUACCUAUAAGACUGGGAUAACUUCGGGAAACCGGAGCUAAUACCGGAUAAUAUAUUGAACCGCAUGGUUCAAUAGUGAAAGACGGUUUUGCUGUCACUUAUAGAUGGAUCCGCGCCGCAUUAGCUAGUUGGUAAGGUAACGGCUUACCAAGGCAACGAUGCGUAGCCGACCUGAGAGGGUGAUCGACCACACGGUAACUGAGACACGGUCCAGACUCCUACGGGAGGCAGCAGUAGGGAAUCUUCCGCAAUGGGCGAAAGCCUGACGGAGCAACGCCGCGUGAGUGAUGAAGGUCUUCGGAUCGUAAAACUCUGUUAUUAGGGAGGAACAAAUGUGUUAGUAACUAUGCACGUCUUGACGGUACCUAAUCAGAAAGCCACGGCUAACUACGUG
Molecule: ribosomal RNA, 497 nt
Filed under: uncultured bacterium
Lineage: Bacteria
Description: partial 16S ribosomal RNA
Rfam family: Bacterial small subunit ribosomal RNA
Source: RNAcentral